Long non-coding RNA from Drosophila simulans, 983 nucleotides. RefSeq lists it as uncharacterized. Lineage: Eukaryota; Metazoa; Arthropoda; Insecta; Diptera; Drosophilidae. The record is from RefSeq and is a predicted model, not a curated record. The transcript has 4 exons.
GUCAUUUGCCGUUUGCUUUCCCAAGAUUCUGACAUUCCCACCAACUUUCGGCGAAGCAAACUAGCAGGCUAGCACACGACGCACAGAGUGCAUAAGAAACAAGGAACUACAAAACAGAGCCAGAAACAUCAUAAGACUAGAAGCUGAACUAAACAAGUAAUGGAGCGAGGAACAAAAUAGAACUAUACGGUCGUAGCAAAUAGUCCUUACAAAUAGUCGACUAUCGGGACAUGAAAAACAUUGAGAGCUUGCUACCCUUCUUAUUUGACUCUACCAGCCACCAACUGCCGACGAGAUGACUGCGAAUAGUUUAUACUCCUCAUCCACUAGCUGCUAUGAAGGAUUUGGACAUAGCCAAAUGUCGUAGGGGCAAGAAUUCAAAACAAUUUCUGUAAUAAAUGAGGGUUUGAAAUCGAACUUGAGCUCAAGUUCAAUGCUACGUGGGCGUAUGCUACAUUAUUCUAAAAUAGCCUUCAGCCUAUCUUGCCGGCAUCGAUUGUGCGUAUCAAGCGGCUCUGCUCAUGUUACGGCCAGCAGCAACUUGGAAAUUACGAAUCCCUUCGUCAUAGCUUCUUCACAUUUCUACCCAAAACAGAUGGUGCGAAGAAAUAAAAGGCGUAUUCGAACUAGGUUCAUAGUAACUAACUUUAAGUUAGUUUAAUAUACUCGACGUUUAAUUAUCUAGAGCUAAAGACCAUUUAGUAGAGGGUAUCAGUAUCUCGUACUUGUACACCCGUGGCACAUCUAUAAGUUCUUAGUGCCCAUUCAUCAGCACAUUUGCAGCACGUCCUGGGCGCUCGGAUAUCAAAGGACUCACGCUAAAGAGAAGCUUUUUGGGAGGAGUAGUGUUUAAUGAAAACCGACUAGGGCCACAGCUGGCAUGGAAUCACCGCAAAUAUUGAACUGGUGAAAUUCCUGACCAAAUAUUAAUGUUCAACUGGGAUAAGUCACCAUAUUCAAAUGAAGUAGAGUUUAUAUUUAAU